This 1439-nucleotide ribosomal RNA is filed under the name uncultured bacterium. Its description in RNAcentral is "bacterial SSU rRNA". It matches the Rfam family "Bacterial small subunit ribosomal RNA". The record is from RNAcentral.
AGAGUUUGAUCCUGGCUCAGAACGUACGCUGGCGGCACGCCUAACACAUGCAAGUCGAACGAAGUAGCAAUACUUAGUGGCAGACGGGUGAGUAACAUGUGGGUAUCUGCCCUUUGGCCUGGAAUAACACGAGGAAACUUGUGCUAAUACCGGAUAAGUCUUUACGGAGAAAGCUUUAUGCACCAUUGGAUGAGCCCGCACUUGAUUAGUUUGUUGGUGGGGUAAUGGCCUACCAAGACUGUGAUCAAUAGCUGAUUUGAGAGGAUGAUCAGCCACAUUGGGACUGAGACACGGCCCAAACUCCUACGGGAGGCAGCAGUGGGGAAUCUUGCACAAUGGAGGAAACUCUGAUGCAGCGAUGCCGCGUGAGUGAAGAAGGCCCUUGGGUUGUAAAGCUCUUUCGUCGGGGAAGAAAAUGACUGUACCCGAAUAAGAAGGUCCGGCUAACUUCGUGCCAGCAGCCGCGGUAAUACGAAGGGACCUAGCGUAGUUCGGAAUUACUGGGCUUAAAGAGUUCGUAGGUGGUUGAAAAAGUUGGUGGUGAAAUCCCAGAGCUUAACUCUGGAACUGCCAUCAAAACUUUUCAGCUAGAGUUUGAUAGAGGAAAGCAGAAUUUCUAGUGUAGAGGUGAAAUUCGUAGAUAUUAGAAAGAAUACCAAUUGCGAAGGCAGCUUUCUGGAUCAUUACUGACACUGAGGAACGAAAGCAUGGGUAGCGAAGAGGAUUAGAUACCCUCGUAGUCCAUGCCGUAAACGAUGUGUGUUAGACGUUGGAAAUUUAUUUUCAGUGUCGCAGCGAAAGCGAUAAACACACCGCCUGGGGAGUACGACCGCAAGGUUAAAACUCAAAUGAAUUGACGGGGACCCGCACAAGUAGUGGAGCAUGUGGUUUAAUUCGAAGAUACGCGCAGAACCUUACCAACACUUGACAUGUUCGUCGCGACUUUAAGAGAUUAAAGUUUUCGGUUCGGCCGGACGAAACACAGGUGCUGCAUGGCUGUCGUCAGCUCGUGUCGUGAGAUGUUGGGUUAAGUCCCGCAACGAGCGCAACCCUCACUUUUAGUUGCCAUCAUUAAGUUGGGCACUCUGAAAGAACUGCCAGUGAUAAGCUGGAGGAAGGUGGGGAUGACGUCAAGUCCUCAUGGCCAUUACGUGUUGGGCUACACACGUGCUACAAUGGUAUCUACAACAGGAAGCGAAACAGCGAUGUUAAGCAAAUCCUUAAAAGAUACCUCAGUUCGGAUUGCACUCUGCAACUCGAGUGCAUGAAGCUGGAAUUACUAGUAAUCGUGGAUCAGCGUGCCACGGUGAAUGCGUUCCCGGGUCUUGUACACACCGCCCGUCACACCAUGGGAGUUGGUUCUACCUUAAGGCAAGGUUUAAUACCCUUGACCACGGUAUAGUCAGCGACUGGGGUGAAGUCAUAACAAGGUAGCCGUA